RNAcentral lists this long non-coding RNA (517 nucleotides) under Cyanistes caeruleus (blue tit). RNAcentral's name for it is "lncRNA (ENSCCEG00000019031.1)". Lineage: Eukaryota; Metazoa; Chordata; Aves; Passeriformes; Paridae. The record is from RNAcentral.
AUAGUCUGAAAAUCAUUUUCUUCAUUUGCUGCACCUGCCACUGGAGAGCUCCUGCAACCUUCAGUGAUGCAGAGCAAACAGCCGUUGCCUUGAAGAGAAUGCUUUCCAACUCUUUGGUGCCUGCCACUUCUCCUCUGUCUUGCAUUUGAAAUCCUCCAGGAUGGGAGUCAUGCUUUGUAUAAAAGGAAGAAAAAGGUGUAAUUUAUCCUGUAAUCAGUGAAUUCUGGACUCUUAUGUUGCUCUCUGAAAAAAAGCUGGAGAACCAGAGUCCUGGCAGAUUAUGCAUUUCUCCCUGUUCCAAGAGCAUGAGAUUGUGCAGCUUGCUCUCUGAGAAGUUGCUGUGAGUGCUCCUGAGCUGCAGCUUUUGGGGAAGGUAGUUUGGCCAUAACAAGAACAGAUCCUGAUGCACCGUGUAAAAGGGUGUAAAAGGGACUUUGGGAGGCAGCUGACUUCUCCAAAGAGCUGUGCCAGAUGAAACACACAGCCAGGAUUUCCAGCCCACUGAACCAUGGAACAU